GCGUAUUGUUAUGCGUUUACUUUACUACAUUGGUUAGAGGUAUAGGGGGAGGGUUGAGAUCUCACAAAUAUGUUUAACCCCGCCGCAUUUUGCGCCUGUCCCAAGUCAGGAGCCUCUGGCCUUUGUUAGUCUUGUAUUAUUUUAAUUUUAGUUUCUUGUGUACAAUUUGGAAAUUAGUAUGGCGUUCAUUAUCACUGGACUAGCAUAUAUUUGUUUAGGGGCCAGAUGAAGGACGCCUCCGGGUGCGGGAAUUUCUCGCUACAUUGAAGACCUGUUGGUGACCCUCUGCUGUUGUUUUUU
This 300-nucleotide long non-coding RNA is filed under the name Mytilus galloprovincialis (Mediterranean mussel). Lineage: Eukaryota; Metazoa; Mollusca; Bivalvia; Mytilida; Mytilidae. The record is from RNAcentral.